RNAcentral lists this long non-coding RNA (653 nucleotides) under Brassica rapa (field mustard). RNAcentral's name for it is "long non-coding RNA (BRAP_LNC004115)". The record is from RNAcentral. Lineage: Eukaryota; Viridiplantae; Streptophyta; Magnoliopsida; Brassicales; Brassicaceae.
AAUGAUCAUUGAAUUUUAAACACAAAGUUGGAAAUCUCAAUUAAACCAUUGCAAGGUAUGAACUCUUAUCAUUCUGAGACCAUUAGUUAAUAAGAACAAGAGAGACUAUAACUACUAGUUAAACCAUAUUCAAUUAGUUUAAGAAGAUAUCUCACAACUGAUCAUUCUUCAAUCCUUUACAUGUACAAUUAUAUCUAUGAAGAGGAGCAAGAUCCUCCCCACGAUUUACCUACACGAUCUUAACACUCCUGCUUAAAAAAAAAGAAGAUAUUAACGUUCCACCAUUUUCAGCUGUUUGAAUUGUUUCUCUCUCUAUUAUUGUAUUACCUCAGGUGUUUCAAUUGUUUGCAUCCAUCUCCAUGGGAUACACUCUCAGUUUCACUGAAUCUGAUGGUACUGUGUGAUACCGCGUUUUGGUGGAAGCUUUCUUAGUAUAAAGAGGACCAGAGAAGAAGGUAAUAUCUCCACCAACUGUAAUUAAACCAGAUAACACGACUUCUGUUAGAGAUUUUCAAAACAAGUUUCACACUUCUAUUUUUACAUCCAUGAUCCAUUAUGUAUAUAGCUUACCAGGUAAUAUAUGAAAUUUAGGAUGGGGUGAUCCAAGACAUCAAGAUCCGCUGCAUCGUCGAACGCAUUAAAGCACAUCUACA